GUCUGCUUGAUAUAAAAAGCAGUCUGGCCUGCCCACUGAUAUUUUUUAAAGGCCGCGGUACUCUGACCGUGCGAAGGUAGCAUAAUAAUUAGUCUUUUAAUUGAAGACUGGAAUGAAUGGUCGGACAAAAAGUAAGCUGUCUCAGUUUUAAAAAUUGAAAUUAACUUUUAAGUGAAAAGGCUUAAAUAUUCUAAAAGGACGAUAAGACCCUAUAAAACUUUAUAUUUGAAGUAGUAGAUUAUUAUUUAUAUAUUUAAGAUCGUCUAUUACUUUAUGUAUUACGUUGGGGAGACGGAAGUAAAACAAGUAACUGCUUUUCUAUUCCAAACAACUAUGUUUGAUUUUUAUGACCCUUAAAAAGAUCCAAAGAUAAAGUUACUUUAGGGAUAACAGCGUUAUUUUUUUUGAGAGUUCUUAUCGACAAAAAAGUUUGCGACCUCGAUGUUGAAUUAAAACAACCUUAUAGUGCAGCAAUUAUAAAGGUAGGUCUGUUCGACCUUUAAAAUUUUACAUGAUUUGAGUUCAAACCGGCGUGAG
This 537-nucleotide ribosomal RNA is filed under the name Lepidophthalmus eiseni. RNAcentral's name for it is "partial 16S ribosomal RNA". It matches the Rfam family "Bacterial large subunit ribosomal RNA", at positions 1819 to 2625 of the family's 2925-position model. Lineage: Eukaryota; Metazoa; Arthropoda; Malacostraca; Decapoda; Callianassidae. The record is from RNAcentral.